RNAcentral lists this ribosomal RNA (103 nucleotides) under Bacillus cereus. RNAcentral's name for it is "partial 16S ribosomal RNA". It matches the Rfam family "Bacterial small subunit ribosomal RNA", at positions 1440 to 1533 of the family's 1533-position model. RNAcentral also lists the same sequence under 2 other names. The record is from RNAcentral. Lineage: Bacteria; Bacillati; Bacillota; Bacilli; Caryophanales; Bacillaceae.
UUUUUGGAGCCAGCCGCCUAAGGUGGGACAGAUGAUUGGGGUGAAGUCGUAACAAGGUAGCCGUAUCGGAAGGUGCGGCUGGAUCACCUCCUUUCUAUGGAGA